GGGUUUAAAGGGAGCAUAGGCCGGAGAUUAAGCGUGUUGUGAAAUGUAGACGCUCAACGUCUGCACUGCAGCGCGAACUGGUUUCCUUGAGUACGCACAAAGUGGGCGGAAUUCGUGGUGUAGCGGUGAAAUGCUUAGAUAUCACGAAGAACUCCGAUUGCGAAGGCAGCUCACUGGAGCGCAACUGACGCUGAAGCUCGAAAGUGCGGGUAUCGAACAGGAUUAGAUACCCUGGUAGUCCGCACGGUAAACGAUGGAUGCCCGCUGUUGGUCUGAAUAGGUCAGCGGCCAAGCGAAAGCAUUAAGCAUCCCACCUGGGGAGUACGCCGGCAACGGUGCAACUCAAAGGAAUUGACGG
Molecule: ribosomal RNA, 358 nt
Filed under: uncultured Bacteroidota bacterium
Lineage: Bacteria; Pseudomonadati; Bacteroidota
Description: bacterial SSU rRNA
Rfam family: Bacterial small subunit ribosomal RNA
Source: RNAcentral